Odocoileus virginianus texanus is the source of this 1657-nucleotide long non-coding RNA. RefSeq lists it as uncharacterized. Lineage: Eukaryota; Metazoa; Chordata; Mammalia; Artiodactyla; Cervidae. The record is from RefSeq and is a predicted model, not a curated record.
CCUGGAUCCCUCUAGGGGGUGUCACAGCCAGAUCCACCUGCUUUUCACCCUACCCUCGGUGGGGUCAUGAGCUGGGAUAACAUGGCUCUGGCCUCUCCUCAAAGAAGUUUGAGCUGUUGACCAAUUUUGCCAGUGAUGAAUUCUCUCAGACCAGGAAAGGCACAGUGCAUUUCCAUGUAAAGUUUCUUCACUGGAUGACCUUCUAUUCCCAAACGAGGAAACUGAGGAUUAGCAAGAUUAAGUGACUUUGUUCAGGGUCCCAUAAAUAAACCACCUGUUGACAACUUGCUUCUCUAAGGACAGGCAAUGGGCAUUUGGAUACCCAACCAAUGAACUUCUCUGAAAAAAAGUUUUUUAAAGGAUUUGCAAUGUCAGCUUCACCAUGUUUGUUGAGACCGGGAAUGUUUGAGGUGGAAGGAACCUCAGAGGUCUAACACAACUCCCUCAUUUUACAGGCAAGGAAACCACUCCAGGAAUGAGAUGUCUCCAACUUCUGCCUGUUUACAAGAAAGGCUGAGUCAGCCAGCACAGAUCAGCACUGUGGCCUCACAGGUUGGCCUCGUCUGUUACACAGGAACUUCAUCCUGCACUUCCCACCCAGAAAUGACUGAACAUGGUCUCCUCCUUGGCUGAGUUUGCCCGUAACUUCAGAGCAAAAACAACCUGUUUCAAGAUCUUCUUUGGUCAGAGGUUUGACAUUUCUAAGGAUGAUUCAUGCCUCCAGCCCUGCUUUUGAUCUGACAUGGCAUAGCCAAGCAAAUGGCCAGUUGUUUUCAUACAAACAGCAGAGAAUGAAUUUUACUUUUGGCAACCUGGACAUGCCUUCUCAUGAUAGAGAAUGGAGAUAAGCUAUCAUCACCAAAGACACUUAGUGUUAGACCGUAAGGCUGAUGGGUUAGAAUUUAGUGAAAAUCUGAGGUGUUGAAGAGUCACUCAUUAGAAUAACCCUGUUACUAACAGUCAAGCUGUAAACCGAGCUCUUUAUAGAUUGAACAAUCAAUACUACAAGGCUGUGAUAGAUUUUCUAGGUAACAGAAUAAAAUAAAAGAAAUUACAUCUUACAGGGUCAUUAACACCCAACCAGGAUAAACUGAAUUCUUUUUUUCUCUCUCUUCUGAUAAGAUCCUAGUUAGGCUUUAAAAAUGUUAGCAAUUCCAUCAGGGAAAAAGCACAGCAUUCCAGGGAAAGGAUCCCUGAAAUAGUGAAGAAAAGCAUGUGGAUUUUAAAGGUAAUCCUGGUAGCCAUAGUAUCAUUUACGAGAAAAUACUUUUCCCCCUCAAAGGGCAUGUGACACCUGACUUGCCCAAGUGAACCAAACUUGUGUAGCUUGCCUAUUAUAGAAGAAUUUACACUGUCCUGGAGCCCUUGCCUUUUAUAUGUCUACCCUUCCCUCAAAGCUCUAUAUUUUAUUGUUUUAAAGCUAAGUGAUGACACCUGGAUGUUACAUAUUUGUAGCCGUUGCUAUAGCUCCUUUGUAGGAAAGGCAUCAUAUAAAUUCAAUAAAUAAAUAAGUAAAUACAAUAAUAAUAAAAAUUCUUGCCUCAGAUUCUGCAGAGAGAGGGGAAAGUCCUCCUUUGCUUUUUAAUCCCUAAGUCACCAAUCAUUAUAACUGGUGGGAAGUGUAAACCAUAGAAAUGUAUUUAGAGCUCACUGCUCU